Molecule: non-coding RNA, 76 nt
Organism: Leptodontidium sp. MPI-SDFR-AT-0119
Lineage: Eukaryota; Fungi; Ascomycota; Leotiomycetes; Helotiales; Leptodontidiaceae
Source: the annotation of a GenBank genome assembly
GGUUAUAUAGUGUAGUAGUAACACAUUGAGUAUUCUUAAUACUUCUUUAUCUUUGGUUUAAUUCCAAAUAUAACUC